GGGGUCUCCUUCUCCUUCUCCUUCUCCUUCUCCUUCUUCUGGCCUUCUCCUUCUCCUUCUCCUUCUCCUUCUCCUUCUCCUUCUCCUUCUCCUUCUCCUUCUUCUUCUCCUCCUUCUCCUUCUCCUUCUCCUCCUUCUUCUUCUCCUCCUUCUCCUUCUCAUCCUCCUCCUCUUCCUUUUCCUCCUCCUCCUUAUCCUCAUUUUUAUAUGUCUUAGAUUCCUUUAGACUUAUGAAUCAUUUUGGGAAUUUUUAAAUAUAUGAAAUAACACAGAGAGAACUAUCAAGGACACCAGUCCUAUUGUAAUAGUUGUUAAAAUAUUAAGAAAAAUUUACCAAUACACCAUAGGUGAAGGACUGCUGCACUAGGUGAUUCUGACCAUCCUUUAAGUGUGACCAUUUUAUGUUCUAGCACUAAGGAGUCUCUAUUUUAUAUUCUACCAUCUUUUCCAUGUUGAAUUUUUCUUCCAACUUCUCCUCCAGUUCUGCUAUUCUGUGCUUUAAGGCCAUUCCUAGUCCUGCAAUUCUAUAUCUUGUUAGUCAUUUAAUAAACAUUUGUUAACUACCUACUAUGUGCAGGCACUGUUCUGAGUGUUGAGGAUACAGGCAAGUGUCUGUCCUCAAGGAGCUCCCAGUCUGAUAGGAAAGAUAUGUACAAAUAAGCAAUGGGUAUGCAGACAAUUCACAAGAUGAAGUGGAAAUGAUCAACCAAAGGAAAACACUAGGAUUAAGAGGAAUCGAGAAAGGUUUCCUAUAGAAGGUGGGAUUCUAGAUGGCUUUUGAAUGCAACCGGAGAAGACAGGAGACAGAGAUGAGGAAGGAGAACAUUCCAGGCAUGGAGGACAGCCCUGGAGCUGGGAGUUGGAGUACCUUACUCAUGGACCUGGAGAAGGCCACUGUGGUGGGGCCUAAGACACUGAUAUGAUCACCAUCUUCUAUAGAGGUUGAACCAAGAGAAAGCAAUGAGCACAAUGUGGCGGUUAAAAAGUCUCUGAAACAAUGAUGUCAACGGCAUUUCGUGAUCACCCGAAAGUCUGAAAGGAUUUUAUAGAUAUCAUCGACUCCCAGGGGCUCCAGGGAUACCUGUGACUCAGAGCUGGAGGACUGGCACUUUGACAGGAAAAGGUCGUCUCCGUAUUGGCACUGAGCAGGAAAAGCUGGCAGUGCCAAUCUUUAAAGGGAGUGACGUGCCCUCUGCUAUUCUCUUUUGCUCGUGAUUGCCCCAACUGCAGGGAUGUGGCAGCCAAAAUAUGUGGCCUGCCUGGGUGAGCUUUUGGUAUUUGGUAUUUCUUUCCUAUGUAGGAAAUAAAUAUCUGUCCCAUAUCUGAUUUGCA
Molecule: long non-coding RNA, 1332 nt
Filed under: Monodelphis domestica (gray short-tailed opossum)
Lineage: Eukaryota; Metazoa; Chordata; Mammalia; Didelphimorphia; Didelphidae
Description: lncRNA (ENSMODG00000033953.2)
Source: RNAcentral